GAAAUGCGAUAAGUAAUGUGAAUUGCAGAAUUCAGUGAAUCAUCGAAUCUUUGAACGCACAUUGCGCCCGCCAGUAUUCUGGCGGGCAUGCCUGUUCGAGCGUCAUUUCAACCAUCAAGCCCCCGGGCUUGUGUUGGGGACCUGCGGCUGCCGCAGGCCCCGAAAACAAGUGGCGGGCUCGCUGUCACACCGGGCGUAGUAGAUUUUUCGUCUCGCCCAGGGCGUGCUGCGGGUUCCGGCCGUUAAAAAGCCUCUCUUUUUAACCCAAGGUUGACCUCGGAUCAGGUAGGAAGACCCGCUGAACUUAAGC
RNAcentral lists this unclassified non-coding RNA (310 nucleotides) under plant metagenome. Its description in RNAcentral is "partial contains 5.8S ribosomal RNA, internal transcribed spacer 2, and large subunit ribosomal RNA". The stretch from base 1 to 105 matches the Rfam family "5.8S ribosomal RNA", at positions 50 to 154 of the family's 154-position model. The record is from RNAcentral.